UCACAGUGUUUUAAUUCUAAACACGAAGUGCGGUGAAGCCAUAUCGUCACCUCUAAGUUGAUUGUGGAAAAAGACGGGAAUUCUUAGAUCUACAUUUAGUCACAGUGUUAUUGGUGUAGGCAUAUCGUCACCUUCAAGUUGUUUCUGCAAUAUGAUGUUGACUGUUGUUACGUUGAUGUUGACCAAUGUUACGUUGAUGUUGAUUUGAUAUUUUCAUAUAUAGAUAAAUUAAAGAAAAGAGAUAUAUAUUUCAUUAAAUGUUAAUGUUUCGAUAGCAUGAAUGUGAACCCCAACCCAGCAUGCUACUUGUCGUUUCGGAAGACAAAUACUAUGUUGUUGUAGGGGGGUGAGCCCUGUUGUCUGGCGGCCCAAAUGUUGAUGUUGAUUGUGAAAUACAUUUAUCUGACCAUUGUGGCCAAAAUCUGCCAUGCAAUAACAAAAACUUUAAAUGUGUUUUUAAUUUUGAAAAGAUUUAUAAACAAUGUUGCAAAUAAAAGCAUAGGGCUCAUUUAAACCCAUGAAUAUUAUGGAUGCCUGGGUAGGAUAUCCCAUAAGGCAUACAAGCUUUGAUAACUAUAUAUUAAACAAUCUUCACAUGUUUUUCCAUUUAAAUCUUUUACUUAUAGAUGGACAAAGAAGCCCAAAUGCAGAAAAUCCCAAGACAGAUAGCAUAGAAGAGGACAUAAUACAUAUGACUGAUUUAGUACCAACUCCGUCUGAAAAAGAUAGACGAAGAGGCUCAAGUGAAGAGAAUCCCAAAACAG
This is a long non-coding RNA of Saccostrea cuccullata (small rock oyster), 764 nucleotides long. RefSeq lists it as uncharacterized. The transcript is spliced from 3 exons. The record is from RefSeq and is a predicted model, not a curated record. NCBI's taxonomy places the organism in Eukaryota, Metazoa, Mollusca, Bivalvia, Ostreida, Ostreidae.